RNAcentral lists this ribosomal RNA (253 nucleotides) under uncultured bacterium. Its description in RNAcentral is "partial 16S ribosomal RNA". It matches the Rfam family "Bacterial small subunit ribosomal RNA", at positions 524 to 776 of the family's 1533-position model. The record is from RNAcentral.
UACGUAGGGCGCAAGCGUUGUCCGGAAUUAUUGGGCGUAAAGAGCUCGUAGGCGGCUUGUCACGUCGGGUGUGAAAGCCCGGGGCUUAACCCCGGGUCUGCAUUCGAUACGGGCUGGCUAGAGUGUGGUAGGGGAGAUCGGAAUUCCUGGUGUAGCGGUGAAAUGCGCAGAUAUCAGGAGGAACACCGGUGGCGAAGGCGGAUCUCUGGGCCAUUACUGACGCUGAGGAGCGAAGGCCAGGGGAGCAAACGGG